RNAcentral lists this long non-coding RNA (618 nucleotides) under Numida meleagris (helmeted guineafowl). RNAcentral describes it as "lncRNA (ENSNMEG00000000637.1)". The record is from RNAcentral. Lineage: Eukaryota; Metazoa; Chordata; Aves; Galliformes; Numididae.
AGGUACAUAUAAACACAUCCAAGAAUUAGAUGCAGCGCUGGAGCAAACUAUUCUUCUUCUAUUUCAGCCUUUACCAGGAAAAGUCAGAGUAAAUUAUAAGCCCAAACAAUUUGCCAUGUUCAGGUGUUAGAUAGUACAAUUGCCUUUCACACUGCAUGGAGUUGAAGCACUAGCUUUUCAAAUAGAUACAAAGCCUGAGCAUCUCAAAGCGAAAGGCCAUCACCAUUGUUCACAAAGUGCUGCAAGCCUCCGUUAGCCAUCCCGAGAGGAGCUGGGAAGAGAAAAGACCUGGUUCUAGGAGGUGCACAGGAUGGGUGCUAAAACAGCAUUCCGUGAGAAGUUCUAAUAGGAUGAAAAUCUAUAAUCCAUAUUAAAAUCAUAAUUUGGAUUUUGGCUACAUAAUUUCCAGUUCAGCCAAAUGUAGACUUCCCCGACAUUGUUCUGAGUGUUUCAGCUUCAGACUACAACUAUUCUAUGCUAGGCAGGGUUUGAGUGAACACAUAAUUCCAGGCUCUUUAUUGACUAAAUGAGAGCAUGAUGUUUUAUGCUUCCUUGGCAUGCCAGGCAUCUGCUGGGAGUAGGUGCAUUCAGGCUGUAUUAAUGUUCUCAAUAUCUUGC